Molecule: long non-coding RNA, 455 nt
Organism: Gossypium arboreum
Lineage: Eukaryota; Viridiplantae; Streptophyta; Magnoliopsida; Malvales; Malvaceae
Exons: 3
Source: RefSeq, a predicted model, not a curated record
AAAUUAAAAACAACCAUGCAUGUUCUUCAUUAUUGCCGAAACUAAAGAAAAUAAGAAAGAAAAGAAAGCUUUAAGGGUUCAGCAACUUAUUAAGCACAAUCAAGAUCAAGAAAAGAGAAAAUCGGAUUUAGAUCGGGGAAAAAGUAAAGUUGUUGACUAGCCGAUCCGUACCGGUUUUUCAUAGUCCGAGAUUUUGUUGUAAGUUACGAGCUCGGGGAUCGUCAGAAAAGUCAUCCACGCUAUCGCCAACCUUCGGUACUUUUAAAAGUCUAUUUUCAAACUUAUGGCAUGUAUAGGCUAAUAUGUAUUUUGUUCGACCUUGAAUAUGUAUAACUUUAGCCAUGCGAAAAUGGCAUAAAUGUUCAACUGGAUUUGAUUCCAUGAUGCUUAGACACAAGUCUUAGUAAUUCGGUUUUGGUUGAGUAAUGGUUGAAGUCUACUUGAUUAUUACGCCA